RNAcentral lists this ribosomal RNA (1191 nucleotides) under Vibrio parahaemolyticus. RNAcentral describes it as "bacterial SSU rRNA". It matches the Rfam family "Bacterial small subunit ribosomal RNA", at positions 284 to 1472 of the family's 1533-position model. The record is from RNAcentral. Lineage: Bacteria; Pseudomonadati; Pseudomonadota; Gammaproteobacteria; Vibrionales; Vibrionaceae.
UAGCUGUUCUGAGAGGAUGAUCAGCACCACUGGAACUGAGACACGGUCCAGACUCCUACGGGAGGCAGCAGUGGGGAUAUGCACAAUGGGCGCAAGCCUGAUGCAGCAUGCCGCGUGUGUGAAGAAGGCCUUCGGGUGUAAAGCACUUCAGUCGUGAGGAAGGUAGUGUAGUUAAUAGCUGCAUUAUUUGACGUUAGCGACAGAAGAAGCACCGGCUAACUCCGUGCCAGCAGCCGCGGUAAUACGGAGGGUGCGAGCGUUAAUCGGAAUUACUGGGCGUAAAGCGCAUGCAGGUGGUUUGUUAAGUCAGAUGUGAAAGCCCGGGGCUCAACCUCGGAAUUGCAUUUGAAACUGGCAGACUAGAGUACUGUAGAGGGGGGUAGAAUUUCAGGUGUAGCGGUGAAAUGCGUAGAGAUCUGAAGGAAUACCGGUGGCGAAGGCGGCCCCCUGGACAGAUACUGACACUCAGAUGCGAAAGCGUGGGGAGCAAACAGGAUUAGAUACCCUGGUAGUCCACGCCGUAAACGAUGUCUACUUGGAGGUUGUGGCCUUGAGCCGUGGCUUUCGGAGCUAACGCGUUAAGUAGACCGCCUGGGGAGUACGGUCGCAAGAUUAAAACUCAAAUGAAUUGACGGGGGCCCGCACAAGCGGUGGAGCAUGUGGUUUAAUUCGAUGCAACGCGAAGAACCUUACCUACUCUUGACAUCCAGAGAACUUUCCAGAGAUGGAUUGGUGCCUUCGGGAACUCUGAGACAGGUGCUGCAUGGCUGUCGUCAGCUCGUGUUGUGAAAUGUUGGGUUAAGUCCCGCAACGAGCGCAACCCUUAUCCUUGUUUGCCAGCGAGUAAUGUCGGGAACUCCAGGGAGACUGCCGGUGAUAAACCGGAGGAAGGUGGGGACGACGUCAAGUCAUCAUGGCCCUUACGAGUAGGGCUACACACGUGCUACAAUGGCGCAUACAGAGGGCAGCCAACUUGCGAAAGUGAGCGAAUCCCAAAAAGUGCGUCGUAGUCCGGAUUGGAGUCUGCAACUCGACUCCAUGAAGUCGGAAUCGCUAGUAAUCGUGGAUCAGAAUGCCACGGUGAAUACGUUCCCGGGCCUUGUACACACCGCCCGUCACACCAUGGGAGUGGGCUGCAAAAGAAGUAGGUAGUUUAACCUUCGGGGGGACGCUACCACUUUUGUUCUUGGC